CUUUUCAUGGGAGAACUUCACUUUCAGUUUUUUGAAGUUGUGAGACAGUAUGUUCUGGAGUAUAGGUGUGGAAGUCAAGAAGUCUUGAGUUCUAGUCAUCAGACUGUCACUGACUUUGUUGAGUGAGGAAAAGAGGUCCUUGCAAAAGGUUUCCAUGAUGGCAGGAGGACAUGAAUCACCUGCUUAGACACACUGUGUAUACGAAGCUCUACCCUGUCAGGACAAGGGCUUCCUGAUUGGGAUCGCGUGAGGCGCAAUGGUUUUGCAUGAUGAUCUGAGGUUUGCCAGAGCUGGUGCUGCCAGAGGGACUGAUGGGCAGGAGCUUCAUUAUCAGAGGAUGGAAUCCACUGCUAAUGCAGUUUCUUUUUGGUGCCAUGAUGAGAACACUGGCAGUUUCUUGUUCAAAUGAGUGGCACCUCCAGUAUCCCUAGAUGGAGGAAGAGCUGAUCUGGCACUCCCUGAUCCAGAGACCGCUCAGGAGGAUCUGUUACAGACUAACUCAGCCUGUGUGUCAUUUUCUCCCCUGUCAGGUUUACAGCUCUGUGUCUCAAGUGAUUUCUUCCUAAAACUGCUGCCCCCAAGGAUACAACACCUAUCGCACAAAGAGGUGGUCAUUCUGAGUUGGGGAUGAAGCACACAGGCAAAGAGCCACUGUGGUGGUAUACGCUCUUCGAAUAGAGGACUGCGGUCUCCAGGGCUGCAGACUUUCACUAGCACUAAAAUGCAUUUUUGAAAAUGAAAGAACUAACAAAACUGGUUAGGAAAAACUCUUCCUGAAAAAACAUGUCCCAGUGCUUGACUUUUAAGCAGGUUUCUCCAUUACUGUGAGGUGGAUCAACUCCAAACAUUGAGGUUUGCAUGGGGCAUCUACCCUCAUGUGGAUCUAUUUGCUGAGGCCUAAAAUUUAUAAUGGAGUUAGAAGUUGCUCUAUAAUAAUCACACAAAACCAUGGUACAAGAACAAAGUCCUAGCAGAAACAAUCUAACUUCAUAAGAAGCAUGCAUUAUGUAUUACAGAAAAA
Mauremys reevesii (Reeves's turtle) is the source of this 1021-nucleotide long non-coding RNA. RefSeq lists it as uncharacterized. The transcript is spliced from 4 exons. The record is from RefSeq and is a predicted model, not a curated record. Lineage: Eukaryota; Metazoa; Chordata; Testudines; Geoemydidae.